ACCCCCCCACCCCCCAACCCUGCUGCUGUAGGCUGGGAAGCUGCGAGGAGCUGGGAGCCAGAAAAGGAAGAGGACAGCCCCACCUUGCAGACCCCACCCUCUAGGAAUGGAUUUAUGCUUCAUUGUUGGUGGGAACCAUAGCAACCACAGAUGACCAUGAGUCAGUAGAUAAUAAACAGGAUUCUUUACAAACAGAGGUUGCCUGGGGCAACCCUGGGAAGGUGAGGCCCUGGAUUUCCUGGUCUGGCCUCUGAGAACCUCCUAGCACCCCAGAACUCCCAGACAGAAUGUUAGGUAAUGCCAAUGAGCACAGAUCAAUCAUCUGCACAAUCUGAAGACGGAGCACUUUCCAUGGAGUGCUGAUGAAGUGCCAGGGUCCUAGGCUCCUUCUGGUGUGCCACCCCUCGGACAAGUCUCUCAGCCUCAAGGUCCAGGAUGGCAACAUCUGUCCAAACAGCAAGAUGGAGAACAGGACAGGAUAGGAACGAAGUAGGAGAGGGGCCAAGGACUCAUGCUGGCAUCCCGCCAGCCUUUUGACACGAGUCACCCUUCCGCCACUUUAUAAAAAAAGGUAGGCCUCUUAUCAGUGGUAGGCAAUAGCAGGGUAGUGAAAACCGUUUCCCCACCACCGCCAAGGCAGGGAAUAGAGGCUGCAUUGUCCUUAGAGAAUUGUAAAUGAGUAAGCAACCGAAAGUUCUUUGUUAUCCCCUGGGCCAGCAAUCCUAAACAAUGUCAGUGAUAAAACAUUCCUCCCUGAAAAAGUAUUUUAUUGGUCUAAGUUCUAAAUCUAAAUAAAUGCUGUCAUUACCACUGAGUUUUAAUUAUAUGUGAACUUCGGCCGGGCACAGUGGCUCACGCCUGUAAUCCCAGCACUUUGGGAGGCCAAGGCAGGCGGAUCACAAGGUCAGGAGUUCGAGAGCA
This 921-nucleotide long non-coding RNA is filed under the name Homo sapiens (human). Its description in RNAcentral is "HSALNT0366390". Lineage: Eukaryota; Metazoa; Chordata; Mammalia; Primates; Hominidae. The record is from RNAcentral.